RNAcentral lists this ribosomal RNA (406 nucleotides) under uncultured bacterium. Its description in RNAcentral is "partial 16S ribosomal RNA". It matches the Rfam family "Bacterial small subunit ribosomal RNA", at positions 30 to 526 of the family's 1533-position model. The record is from RNAcentral.
AUUGAACGCUGGCGGCAGGCCUAACACAUGCAAGUCGAGCGAGCGUCGGACGGGUGAGUAAUGUAUGGGGAUAUGCCCGUUAGAGGGGGAUAACUACUGGAAACGGUGGCUAAUACCGCAUACUGUCGGAUGAACCCCUAUGGGAUUAGCUAGUAGGUAAGGUAAUGGCUUACCUAGGCGACGCUCCCCAGCUGGGCUGUGAGGAUGAUCAGCCACACUGGGACUGGGACACGGCCCAGACUCCUACGGGAGGCAGCAGGGGGGAAUAUUGCACAAUGGGGGCAAGCCUGAUGCAGCCAUGCCGCGUGUAUGAAGAAGGCCCUAGGGUUGUAAAGCUCGUUAAUCGGGACGACGGUACCGGAAUAGAAAGCCACGGCUAACUACGUGCCAGCAGCCGCGGUAAUAC